Molecule: non-coding RNA, 418 nt
Organism: Schizosaccharomyces pombe (fission yeast)
Lineage: Eukaryota; Fungi; Ascomycota; Schizosaccharomycetes; Schizosaccharomycetales; Schizosaccharomycetaceae
Source: the annotation of a GenBank genome assembly
UAAAUGAACCUUUUGAACCAGCAGCAACCAUUUGUUUGACAUUGUUAGAAUCCUUCAAGCUAUGCUCAGCUGACCUACCAGCGUUGUCUCUCGCUUGAUUGAGAAUCCUUGAUACCUUAGCUUCAAAAGAUUCUCGAAGGGUCAUUCCUGGCUCAGGCUUUAAGCGAUUGUGCUGAGCAUCCUGAAUACAUUCUGCGACUUGACGACGGGCUUCCUUAACAGUUCUAGUAACCUCUUUCAUUGUGUCCGCAUCGGCAAUAGUAUCUCCUAUACCAAUGCUAAAACCGUUAUGUAAAAGCCAAUAGUUUACAACUCGUUGAAUACCAUUGAAGAAACCUUUACAAAUCUCAGGACCUUUCUCUUUCCAGAUAGUAUGAACUAAACCACCUUGAGAAGCACCAACAGUCUUCUUGUCAAC